CCCACAAAGCCCCUGUAGGACUGGGCGGAUAGCCAAACCACUCAUGCCUUUUACGAUAUAAUAGCAUUCUCCUCCCAUAUUAUAUUGCUACAAGAAAUACAUUUCCAGGCGUAAAUAGGUUCUGCCUUUCGUCCUCAUCAUCACCCUCUCCAGCACCACCACCACUACCACCAUCCUCCUCCUCCUCCUUUCCUGUCUCAUUCAUUAUGCCGGCAAGAUGUUACCAGGGCUUGGACACGUUCUUUAUGAUAUGAAGAUUUAAAAUGGAGUAAGCGUUAACAGGUCAAGAACCGUAAAUGUAGCGAUGUCAAUUUACCGCUUUCGCUAAAUGCAUGCCGACCAAUUAGCACUUCAGCGGACGACCAAACAAUGUUUUGUGGGGGGGAGCAUAUGUGUUUAGAGUAACCUUGGGAAACUUAUCGCGCGCAAGUUGGAUAUUCUCUUCUAACCUGCCGGAGCGUCGGCUCAAACUCUCUGGCUGGGGCGUUGCUCCGAAGACAACAGAAUGUUGGGAGAAUGAUUGUGGCUUUUAACGAACCAAGAAGAAAGAAAAGGGUUCCGGAAAUUUGAAUCUCUUUGAGUGAGAUCAAGGUAUCAACGUAGAUAGCAGCCUACAAGAACUAGAAGA
This 628-nucleotide small RNA is filed under the name Histoplasma capsulatum var. duboisii H88. Its description in RNAcentral is "Histoplasma capsulatum H88 hypothetical RNA". Lineage: Eukaryota; Fungi; Ascomycota; Eurotiomycetes; Onygenales; Ajellomycetaceae. The record is from RNAcentral.